This 300-nucleotide unclassified non-coding RNA is filed under the name Herpotrichiellaceae sp. Its description in RNAcentral is "partial contains small subunit ribosomal RNA and internal transcribed spacer 1". Lineage: Eukaryota; Fungi; Ascomycota; Eurotiomycetes; Chaetothyriales; Herpotrichiellaceae. The record is from RNAcentral.
AAGUCGUAACAAGGUUUUCCUUCCGGUUAAAGCUAUUAACCUAUUGAAGCCUGACGUGGGCGACUAUAAAAAUAACCAUGGAGUUCGGUCUUUAACGGACUGAACAACACCGCCGAAAUGCUGUGAUCAACUAUUGUUGUACCAGCAGCCCUCUUAUAGGGCCCACAGAUCAAGCCGCGGUGAUCCCACCCUGGAGUAUUUAGGGUAGGACUAUAAUAUGACCGGUCUCACCUGAGAUGGCUGAGAAAACACGUUCCGUAGGUGAACCUGCGGAAGGAUCAUUACCGAGUUAGGGUCUUA